CCUACGGGUGGCAGCAGUGAGGAAUCUUGGUCAAUGGGCGCGAGCCUGAACCAGCCAAGUCGCGUGAGGGAAGACGGCCCUACGGGUUGUAAACCUCUUUUGCCGGGGAGCAACGGGCGCCACGUGUGUCUCCACUGAGAGUACCCGGAGAAAAAGCAUCGGCUAACUCGGUGCCAGCAGCCGCGGUAAUACGGAGGCGUCGAGCGUUAUCCGGAUUUAUUGGGUUUAAGGGGUGCGUAGGCGGAGCGUUAAGUCAGUGGUCAAAUUGAGGGGCUCAACCCCUUCCCGCCAUUGAAACUGGCGCUCUUGAGUGGAAGAGAAGUAUGCGGAAUGCGUGGUGUAGCGGUGAAAUGCAUAGAUAUCACGCAGAACCCCGAUUGCGAAGGCAGCAUGCCGGCUUCCUACUGACGCUGAAGCACGAAAGCGUGGGGAUCGAACAGGAUUAGAUACCCCGGUAGUC
Molecule: ribosomal RNA, 460 nt
Filed under: uncultured bacterium
Lineage: Bacteria
Description: partial 16S ribosomal RNA
Rfam family: Bacterial small subunit ribosomal RNA
Source: RNAcentral